Anguilla anguilla (European eel) is the source of this 1760-nucleotide long non-coding RNA. RefSeq lists it as uncharacterized. The record is from RefSeq and is a predicted model, not a curated record. Lineage: Eukaryota; Metazoa; Chordata; Actinopteri; Anguilliformes; Anguillidae. The transcript is spliced from 4 exons.
CAACAACAUGCUCUCACAGAGGGCUCUCUGAGGAAGAGAAAGGUAGCCCUGUGUUACGAGGUCCUUAUUGAAAACCACUUCAGACGAGGACAGUUGUUCUGGUAAUAGCCUGACAAAGCGGAUCAGCUUCUGAGACAGCCUGGAACACCAUAUCAUGUGGUACUAUUAGCAUGCAUUCCCAAAGAAAGAGUUCACUGCAAGGCCAGAAACCACCUUGAAUAGGUGAACGGACCAUUGCUCGCCUCGACGAGACCAGCUGGGAUUCCUGUGCACUCAGGCGAAUCGACAAAGCUUUUCCAUAAGGCAAAAGGGGCAAAACAUACAAAAUCGGACUGGGUACCCAGAGCUUUGUGACUCCCACUUCACCCUGCACUCUCAACUCCGUUGUUAAUGCACGACCUGUGUCUGUUUGGUUUAGAUGAGUAUUGGCAUGCCUUCAAAGUGCACAGCAGGCAAAAGACAGGCACGUCACUGCUUUUGGCCUUCUUCACAUUAUUGCUGGCUGUAGGAGAUUACAGACAUACCAAUAUAAAAAAAAAAAUGUUUAUACACUCAUUGUAUGCUCUUGCCUUUUUGAAGAUAAUGGAAGUUUAGCCCUUGGCUAAAAUCACAUAGUUCAGGUAUAGGUGAAGGAUUAAAUUUUAAGGGUUUCAGGGUGUGUUAUUAAUGUUUACAUGUGUAUUAACAAUGAAGGGACAGUCAGCUACUGCCAAUCAAGAAGCAUGCCAGAAUAUAAUUGUGCUUUAUGACCUCCAUGUUUUUCUUAUUCAUGCACCACCAUCAUUAUUAUUAUGUCAUUUGUACUAGAUGUGAAUCAUAGGAACAACAAGAAGUUGAACAUAAUAGACAACAACAGCAACGGACAGCAAGCAACAUGUUCAACAAUAUAUAGCAAUUAUUGUGAAAUGACAUUUCACUGCGUAGCCCAGGUUUGUGUGCAAUAUAGCCAAGAGUGGCAAGUGAAAUUUGAGUACUUUUGACACAUCGUAUUUACUGGCAGAAGAGCAGAAUUGUUUCUUGACCUUGGUUCAUUUCAAUGGUAUUUUGAGGCAAAUUAUGAGUCUUGCAUGGGGCCCCUGUAUUGAAACAAAUCUUGUCACAAGGACACACAAAGUAUGGUUGGCAAAGAACUGGGCUCUUUUCAGUUCCAUAACCUACAGUUCUACAUGCAAAAAUAUCCCACGUUCAGCACUGUAAUUCAUCAAAUAACAUGCAUUAUUUACUCAUUUAAAAAAAAUAAAUCCUUAAUCGUAUAUUUGAUAAUUGCAUACUCCAUUUUGAAUUUGUCUGAACUGUACAUACCCUUUUAUGCAAGCACAGUGUUUGGAUUAAGUGUAUAAUUCCCUAAGAAAUUAGAAUUAUCAGGACAGCACAAUGGAUGUGAGAUAAAUGUUGCAUAGUGCCUUAUUUUGAAUUUCUUACUUACUUCUUAUUUCAAGUGCAUGACAUUACAAACAUGCAGUUGACUUACCAGGAGUCAGCUGUUAUUUUGCAUUAUCUGUAACUUCCUUAUUCCUUCAUAAACUCAGAUCAGCAUAAUCUCUCUUUCUAAUAAUCUUUUGCAUUUGUAUCUUUUAACUCACAUCACAAAGGUCUGUUCUGUUUAUCUAUACAGGCCGACUCACAAUGUUAGCAAUUCAGAAUUCAAAUGAAAAUUAUGUAUUUUGCCUUUCAGUAUUCAGCAAUAAAUUGAUAUGGAGCAGUCUUGCACAGAAUGGUAUAUUUCUGCUUGUUCAUACAAAUUAUACAUUGAAUUGUAU